GAUGGUUUUCGGUUGAUGCCUUUUGGGUCUGGAAGGAGGAGUUGUCCUGGAGAGAGCUUGGCCUUGCGCAUGGUUAGUUUGACCUUGGGUUCGGUCCUUCAGUGCUUUGAGUGGGAGAGAGUUGGCAAGGAAAUGGUGGACAUGACCGAGGGCGCUGGACUAACAAUGCCCAAAGCUCAGCCCUUGAUAGUUAAAUGUAGACCACGUCCAUCCAUGGUGAACCUUCUUUCUCAUGUUUGAAUUAUAACCCAUGGAAAUUACCUAUAAGCC
RNAcentral lists this unclassified non-coding RNA (270 nucleotides) under Hevea brasiliensis (rubber tree). The record is from RNAcentral. Lineage: Eukaryota; Viridiplantae; Streptophyta; Magnoliopsida; Malpighiales; Euphorbiaceae.